CAUUGGAAAGCUAAACUGGGAAACAGCGUUAGCCUUUUGAGCUAAAGACUGGUGGUCCCCGCCCACCUCCAAUGA
This 75-nucleotide transfer RNA is filed under the name Dasyscopelus asper (prickly lanternfish). RNAcentral describes it as "Myctophum asperum (prickly lanternfish) tRNA-Lys". It matches the Rfam family "tRNA". Rfam says of the family: Transfer RNA (tRNA) molecules are approximately 80 nucleotides in length. Lineage: Eukaryota; Metazoa; Chordata; Actinopteri; Myctophiformes; Myctophidae. The record is from RNAcentral.